Molecule: ribosomal RNA, 253 nt
Filed under: uncultured bacterium
Lineage: Bacteria
Description: partial 16S ribosomal RNA
Rfam family: Bacterial small subunit ribosomal RNA
Source: RNAcentral
UACGGAGGGGGCUAGCGUUGUUCGGAAUUACUGGGCGUAAAGCGCACGUAGGCGGACUGUUAAGUCUGGGGUGAAAUCCUGGGGCUCAACCUCAGAAUUGCCUCCGAUACUGGCAGUCUCGAGUGCGGGAGAGGUGAGUGGAAUUCCCAGUGUAGAGGUGAAAUUCGUAGAUAUUGGGAAGAACACCAGUGGCGAAGGCGGCUCACUGGCCCGUAACUGACGCUGAGGUGCGAAAGCGUGGGGAGCAAACAGG